This 1462-nucleotide ribosomal RNA is filed under the name uncultured archaeon. RNAcentral describes it as "bacterial SSU rRNA". It matches the Rfam family "Archaeal small subunit ribosomal RNA". The record is from RNAcentral.
CGGUUGAUCCUGCCGGACCCUACUGCUAUCGGGAUGGGACUAAGACAUGCUAGUCGUGCGUCUCCUAGCCAUGGUGGAGACGCGGCACACAGCUCAGUAACACGUGGCUAACCUGCCCUUGGGACGGAAACAUCCCCGGGAAACUGGGGCCAAUUUCCGAUAGGUGAAGAACCCUGGAAUGAGUCUUCGCCCAAAAGGCGCCUAGAGCAUGCUUCUAGGUGUUGCCCAAGGAUGGGGCCGCGGCCGAUCAGGUUGUUGGUGAGGUAAUGGCUCACCAAGCCUUUAACCGGUACGGGCCGUGGGAGCGGUAGCCCGGAGAUGGGCACUGAGACAAGGGCCCAGGCCCUACGGGGCGCAGCAGUUGCGAAAACUCCGCAAUGCACGAAAGUGUGACGGGGCUACCCCGAGUGCCGUCCGCUGAGGAUGGCUUUUCUCUGCUGUAAGGAGGCGGAGGAAUAAGGAGAGGGCAAGUCUGGUGUCAGCCGCCGCGGUAAUACCAGCUCUCCGAGUGGUAGGGAUGAUUAUUGGGCUUAAAGCGUCCGUAGCCGGCCCUUCAAGUCUCUUGUUAAAUCCAGCGAUUCAAUCGUUGGACUGCGGGAGAUACUGUUAGGCUAGGGGGCGGGAGAAGCCGACGGUAUUUCCGGGGUAGGGGUAAAAUCCUAUAAUCCCGGGAAGACCACCAGUGGCGUAGGCGGUCGGCUAGCACGCGCUCGACGGUGAGGGACGAAAGCUGGGGGAGCGAACCGGAUUAGAUACCCGGGUAGUCCCAGCUGUAAACGAUGCGGGCUAGGUGUUGGAGCGGCUACGAGCCGCUUCAGUGCCGCAGGGAAGCCAUUAAGCCAGCCGCCUGGGGNAGUACGGCCGCAAGGCUGAAACUUAAAGGAAUUGGCGGGGGAGCACCACAAGGGGUGAAGCUUGCGGUUUAAUUGGAGUCAACGCCGGAAAUCUCACCGGGGGCGACAGCAGUGUGAAGGCCAGAUUGAAGGUCUUGCCAGACGAGCUGAGAGGAGGUGCAUGGCCGUCGCCAGUUCGUGCCGUGAGGUGUCCUGUUAAGUCAGGCAACGAUCGAGACCCGCAUCCCCCGUUGCCGCCAGCCUUGAGCUGAGCACACUGGGGAGACCGCCGUCGAUAAGACGGAGGAAGGAGCGGGCCACGGCAGGUCAGUAUGCCCCGAAUCUCCCGGGCCACACGCGAGCUGCAAUGGCAGGUACAAUGGGUUCCGACCUCGAAAGGGGAAGGAAAUCUCUAAAGCCUGCCGUAGUUGGGAUCGAGGGUUGAAACCCACCCUCGUGAACAUGGAAUCCCUAGUAAUCGCGUGUCACUAGCGCGCGGUGAAUACGUCCCUGCUCCUUGCACACACCGCCCGUCGUUCCACCCGAGCGACUUCUGGGUGAGGCGUGGUCUUUGUUGGCUGCGUCGAAUCUAGCUUUCGUGAGGGGGGAAAAGUCGUAACAAGGUAGCC